This 563-nucleotide ribosomal RNA is filed under the name uncultured bacterium. RNAcentral's name for it is "partial 16S ribosomal RNA". It matches the Rfam family "Bacterial small subunit ribosomal RNA", at positions 355 to 941 of the family's 1533-position model. The record is from RNAcentral.
UAGGGAAUCUUGCGCAAUGGGCGAAAGCCUGACGCAGCCAUGCCGCGUGAAUGAUGAAGGUCUUAAGAUUGUAAAAUUCUUUCACCGGGGAAGAUAAUGACGGUACCCGGAGAAGAAGCCCCGGCUAACUUCGUGCCAGCAGCCGCGGUAAUACGAAGGGGGCUAGCGUUGCUCGGAAUUACUGGGCGUAAAGGGCGCGUAGGCGGAUAUUUAAGUUGGGGGUGAAAGCCCGGGGCUCAACCUCGGAAUAGCCUUCAAUACUGGAUAUCUUGAGUUCGGGAGAGGCGAGUGGAAUGCCGAGUGUAGAGGUGAAAUUCGUAGAUAUUCGGCGGAACACCAGUGGCGAAGGCGACUCACUGGCCCGAUACUGACGCUGAGGCGCGAAAGCGUGGGGAGCAAACAGGAUUAGAUACCCUGGUAGUCCACGCCGUAAACGAUGAGUGCUAGUUGUCGGCAUGCGUGCAUGUCGGUGACGCAGCUAACGCAUUAAGCACUCCGCCUGGGGAGUACGGUCGCAAGAUUAAAAACUUAAAUGAAUUGACGGGGGUCAUAGCUGUUUCCUG